Molecule: ribosomal RNA, 804 nt
Filed under: uncultured bacterium
Lineage: Bacteria
Description: bacterial SSU rRNA
Rfam family: Bacterial small subunit ribosomal RNA
Source: RNAcentral
ACGAACGCUGGCGGCGUGCCUAACACAUUGCAAGUCGAGCGGAGGGGAAAGGAGCUUGGCUUCUUGGACCUCAGCGGCGGACGGGGUGAGUAACACGUGGGGUAACCUGCCCCUUGAGAGGGAGAUAACAGGGUCGAAAAGGCCUGCUAAUACCGCAUAACGCUAAGAAGCUGCAUGGGCGUCUUAGCCAAAGGUUAAUUCCGCUCAAGGAUGGGGCCCCGCGGCCCCAUUAGCUAGUUGGUGAGGUAAUGGCUCACCAAGGCGACGAUGGGUAGCCGGGCCUGAGAGGGGUGGUCGGCCACACUGGGACUGAGACACGGCCCAGACUCCCUACGGGAGGCAGCAGUGGGGAAUAUUGCGCAAUGGGGGAAACCCCUGACGCAGCGACGCCGCGUGAGCGAUGAAGGCCUUCGGGUUGUAAAGCUCUGUCUUCCCUGACGAUAAUGACGGUAAGGGAGGAGGAAGCCACGGCUAACUACGUGCCAGCAGCCGCGGUAAUACGUAGGUGGCGAGCGUUGUCCGGAAUUACUGGGCGUAAAGGGUGCGUAGGCGGCACUUUAAGUGGGGAUGUGAAAUCCCUGGGGCUCAACCCCAGGAACUGCAUUCCAAACUGGAGAGCUAGAGUGCAGGAGAGGAAAGCGGAAUUCCCAGUGUAGCGGUGAAAUGCGUAGAGAUUGGGAGGAACACCAGUGGCGAAGGCGGCUUUCUGGACUGUAACUGACGCUGAGGUACGAAAGCGUGGGGAGCAAACAGGAUUAGAUACCCUGGUAGUCCACGCUGUAAACGAUGGGUACUAGGUGUAGG